CUGGCUCAGGAUGAACGCUGGCGGCGUGCUUAACACAUGCAAGUCGAACGAUGAAGCCCAGCUUGCUGGGUGGAUUAGUGGCGAACGGGUGAGUAACACGUGAGUAACCUGCCCUUAACUCUGGGAUAAGCCUGGGAAACUGGGUCUAAUACCGGAUAGGAGCGCCUACCGCAUGGUGGGUGUUGGAAAGAUUUAUCGGUUUUGGAUGGACUCGCGGCCUAUCAGCUUGUUGGUGAGGUAAUGGCUCACCAAGGCGACGACGGGUAGCCGGCCUGAGAGGGUGACCGGCCACACUGGGACUGAGACACGGCCCAGACUCCUACGGGAGGCAGCAGUGGGGAAUAUUGCACAAUGGGCGCAAGCCUGAUGCAGCGACGCCGCGUGAGGGAUGACGGCCUUCGGGUUGUAAACCUCUUUCAGUA
Molecule: ribosomal RNA, 422 nt
Filed under: Micrococcus luteus
Lineage: Bacteria; Bacillati; Actinomycetota; Actinomycetes; Micrococcales; Micrococcaceae
Description: bacterial SSU rRNA
Rfam family: Bacterial small subunit ribosomal RNA
Source: RNAcentral